AAAAAACACAAUAAUAUUAAUGUGUAUACUUUCAUUAUGUCAUCCUUCCUUCGAAACUAUGGAAGCUAUUUACAACGUGUUGGUAUGACAGGGGUUUCCCAGGGGUGUCCCAGGGGUUGACAGGGGUUUUCCAGGUGUUUUCCAGGGGUUGGGGUUUUCCUCUCCUUGCUGCUAUAAAAUACCUUCACAUAUUGUACACAUUCAUUCUUUCUUGUCUUCUUGGUAGAACGCUAAGCUACAGUGACCAGUAGUCUUCCAGACCUCAGGAUUCUAUUCUUCAGCUUUUUAGAAUGAGAUGCGUUUUUGUUCCAAACUGAUGAUUUCAACUGAUGCUCUCCUGAUGCAUGGCAGACGGCGGUGCCUGUGUCUCUGAGAACACCAUGUGAAUCCCCGUGCCUGAGAACACCAUGUGAAUCUCUGUGCCUGAGAACGCAUGUGAAUCCCAGGAACAUCCUCCAACACACCAUUCAUCAGAGAAGCCCUAUCUGUGACAACAUGUUUGUGCUAAACAAGAGCAAGGGUACCACACUCAGAUACACAUAACAGCAGCGCCAUCUAUUGGCUUGACGACAUCUCAGUGGUGAGUUUAAGGAAGACCAAUACCACCAAGAACACUCUGCCUGAAUCUAGACUCUGAAAUGGGCAAGAAGAUACAGACUGAGUGGGUCCAGAAGAACUGACCCAAACAUGAUAUGUAAACCAUGUUUUAUAGUUCCUCUUCUUCUUCUUCUUCUGAGAAACUGUGUGACCUAUCUGGCCUGGGGCAAGUUAAGGUGCUCUAUGGGCUCUAAAUUAAAAUGUUUCAUUGGUAGGACUGGUGCUUCCAACUUAAAAAAGUGAGGAGGACAAAAUAAAAUCUAGGAGAACGAGAAAAUAUUAUUUUUCUUUCAAUUCGAUUGAGAUACAGCCUAUAAUGGGGCUAUGGGAUGGGGCUAUAGGAUGGGGCUAUAGGAUGGGGCUAUAGGAUGGGGCUGUAGGAUGGGGCUAUGGGAUGGGGCUAUAUGUUGUGCCCUAGGGACUAAUAGGUACCCAUGUACAUACAUUCGUUUUUUUUAAAUAAAAAGCUAAAAUGUUGAUACAAAUACAUGUCAUUGACAUUUCAAAGUCAUUUGUGGAAUGUUAGAUUUCUACAUAGUUAGGGCUCUAAAAAAUCUGUUUCCUUUUUUGCCUAAUUCAGUUUUUUUUGUUUUUUUGUUGCCAAAUUCUGUUUUCUCAGUUUUGUUUUUACAGGUUUCUCAUUAUUCUCAUUUUUUGGGGGGGGGGGUCUAAGUUCACAACAAUAAUUAAACCACAUCAAGAGACAACUUUUGAGGUCUGGGGAAAAUCUAAAGAUAAAAAAUGUUUUUGUGUAGUUUCAUUCAAGUGUGCACCAUGGACAUAUAGCAAUAGAAUGUUUGGUUACCUGUGUUUCUGGAGCCCACGUGUGUAGAUAUUGCUAAACAUAUGCCCAAUGGAUUGAUGCAAAUAAUCAUGAUAUAUGUCUUCCAGGUAGGCAUAGGCGACAUUGUAGUUAACAUUUAAUUGAGAAGGUUUUUGGAAAAGUCUUUCCAUCUACCAAAAGGCAGUUGUCAUUAGUAUCGUCGCUCACAUCUACGCAAAGUAGACCUGCACAGCACACACACAAAGACAGGAGCAUUUCUACGUCCUGUGCAUUCAUCUUCAGAAAGUUACUUUGUAGUUAACGUUCUUGUUCACUUGUGACUUAAUGAAGCUGAGGGGGACAUGCCAGCUAAGCAGGCAGGUCAACAAUGCCAUAUGGGGGUCAGCUGACAGCCGGACAGAUUGGUCCACUCAAAAGGAUGAGCUGUGGGGCUGAGGUGACAGUGACGGGAAUCUGUGUGACAUAAUAACUGAACUGGCUGUGUUAAUUUGCCCUGUGGAUGAAGGCUAACCAGCUCUACGGACAUGGUUGGAGGAGUGUGACCUGGUGAAGACGAGGGGGACACGCCAACUAAGAAAACAGGUCAACACUGCCUUGGGGCCAGUGGACAGCUUGACAGAUUGGUCCACUCAAAGUGUGUGAGCGACGGGUCUGAGAUGACUGAAAUGAGCAUAGUGCUGGAUGUCACACUCAUUGUUACCUGGCAGUCAGGAUGCCGGCCCAGUGGAGGAAUGGGGCCACUUCUUCUUCUUCUUCUUCUUCUUCUUCUUCUAAGAGACUGUGUGACAUAAUAACUGGCUUGGGGCAUCUUAAGGUGCCCUCUGGGUGAAAGCUGAACAGCUCUAUGGACAUGUUUGGAGGUAUAGGGCCAGGUGAAGCUACGGGGGACAUACCAACUAAGAAUACAAGUCAACACAGCUAUGCGGGCCAGUGCACAGCCAUUGGAUAGGCUGGGGUAACUGCUGAGCAGGUCGCUUUGGUAGACCUUUUGUACACCGUUUGUUAGGCUGUUUGGUAGACAGAUUGAUAGGCUUUUGGUAGACAGUUUGGUAGGCCUUUGGUAGGCCGUUUGGUUGAGGAGGAUUGAUGCCACCACUUCUUUUUCAUCUUCGUAUGUUUCUUCUUCAUUUAUUAUUUUUCUUCUGAGAGACUGUGAUAUUAUAACUGGCUUGGGGCGUGUUAAGGUGCCCUCUGGGUGAAGGCUGAACAGCUCUAUGGAUAUGUUUGGAGGUGUACGGCCUGGUAAAACUAAGCGGGACAUGCCAGCUAAGAAUACAGGUCAACACAGCUAUGCGGGCCUGUGCACAGCAAUUGGAUAGGCCGGGGUAACUGCUGAGUAGGUCGCUUUGGUAGGGCGUUUGGUAAGCCCUUUGGUAGGCCGUUUGGUAGACCUUUUGAUAGGCCGUUUCAUAGAAUGCUUGGUAGUAUGUUUGCUAGGCCUUUGGUAGGCUGAUUGGUAGACUUUUGGUAGGCAGUUGGUUGGCCUUUGGUAGGCCAUUUAGUAGAGGGGGAAUGAUGCCUCCCCUUCUUCUUCUUCUUCUUCUUGCCAGUAAAGUGGAGGAGUGGGGCCACUGCUCCUUCUUCUUCUUCUUCUUCUGUUUCUUCUACUUUUAUAAUUUUUCAUCUUCUCCUUCUACAAAAUGGAAGGCCGUUUGGUAGGCCUUUUGGUAGGCUUUUGGUAGGCCGUUUGGAAGGCUGAUUGGUAGGAUUUUGGUAGACAGUUUGGUAGGCCUUUGGUAGACCGUUUAGUAGAGGGGGAAUGAUUCCACCCCUUCUGCUUCUUGUUCUUCUGUUUCUUCUGAGAGACUGUGACAUAAUAACUGGCUUGGGGCAUCUUAAGGUGCCCUCUGGGUGAAGGCUGAACAGCUCUAUGGACAUGUUUGGAGGUGUACGGCCUGGUGAAGCUAAGGGCGACAUGCCAGCUAAGAAUACAGGUCAACAUAGCUACGCGGGCCAUUUGGUAGACCUAUUGGUAAGCCGCUUGGUAGUCCAUUUGGUAGGCCGCUUGGUAUGUCGUUUGGAAAGCUGUUUGGUCGGCCUUUGGUAGACUGUUUGGUAAACUGCUUGGUAGCCCACUUAGUAGGCCCUUUGGUAAGCCGUUUGGUAGGUCUUUGGUAGUUUGUUUGAUAGGUCGUUUGGUAGUCUGUUUGGUAGGCCUUUGGUAGACUUUUUGGUAGACAUUUGGUAGGCUGUUUGGGAGGCCGUUUCAAAGCCCGCUUGGUAGUGCGUUUGGUAGGCUUUGGGUAGGCUGAUUGGUAGGCUUUUGGUAGACAGUUUAGUAGGCCUUUGUUAGGCCGUUUGGUAGAGGAGGAAUGAUGCCACCUCUUCUUCUUCUUGUUCUUCUUCUGUUUCUUCUUCUUUUAUAUUUCAGUGGAGGAAUGGGGCCACAUCUUCUGAACAGCUCUAUGGAAAUGUUUGGAGGUGUGUGGCAUGGUAAAACUAAGGAGGACAUGCCAGCUAAGAAUACAGGUCAACACAGCUAUGCGGGCCAGUGCACAGCCAUCGGAUAGGCCGGCGUAACUGCUGAAUAGAUCGCUUUGGUAGGCCUUUUAUAGACCGUUUGGUAGGGCGUUUGGUAAGCUCUUUGGUAAGCCCUUUGGUAAGGCGAUUGGUAGACCAUUUGGUUGGUCUUUUGGUAGGCCUUUUGGUAGGAUGUUGGGUGGGUCGUUUGGAAGGCUGUUUGGUAGGCCAUAUCAUAGGCCGCUUGGCAGUAAGUUUGGUAGGCCAUUUGGAAGACUCUUUGGUAAGCCAUUUAAUAGGCCGCUUGGUAGUAUGUUUGGUAGGCCUUUGGUAGACUGUUUGGUAAGCCUUUGGUAGACUGUUUGGUAGGCUUUGGUAGACAGUUUGGUUGGCCUUUGGUAGGCCGAUUAGUAGAGGGGGAAUGAUGCCACAACCUUCUUCAUCUUCUUAUGUUUCUUCUUCUUCACCUUCUUUUUCUUCUUCUUUGUCUUCUUCUGUUUAUUCUUCUUUUAUUAUUUUUCUUCUUCUUCUUCUUCUUGCCAGCCAAGUGGAGAAUUGGGGCCACUGCUCCUUCUUCGUCUUCUUCUUCUUCUGUUUCUUCUUCUUAAAUAAUUUUUCGUCUUCUUAAUCUUCUUUUUCUACCAAACGGAAGACCAUUUGAUAGGCCUUUUGGUAGGCCUUUGGUAGGACGUUUGGAAUGCUGAUUGGUAGUAUUUGAUAGACAUUUUGGAAGGCCUUUGGUAGUCCGUUUAGUAGAGGGGGAAUGAUACCACCCCUUCUUCUUCUUCUUAUGUUUCUUCUUCUUUUCUUCUUCGUCUUCUUCUGUUUAUUUUUCUUCUUCUUCUUCCUCUUCUUCUUCUUCUUGCCAGCCAAGUAUAAUUGUUCUUAUUAUUCUUCUUAUUUUUCUUAUUAUUAUUAUUUUUCUUCAACCAAAUGGAAGGCCAUAUUCUUGUUCUUCGUUUUCUUCUUGUUCUUCUUGUUCUUCUUCUUCUGUUCCUUCUUCUUUUAUAAUUUUCUUCUUCUCCUUCUACCAAACGUAAUGCCAUUUUGUAGGUUGUUCAUAGGCCUCUUGGUAGUACGUUUGGUAGACAUUUGGUUGGCUGAUUGGUAGGGUUUUGGUAGACAGUUUGGUAGGCCGAUAAGUAGAGGGGGAAUGAUGCCACGCCUUCAUCUUCUUCUGUUUCUUCUUCUUCUUCGUCUUCUGUUUAUUCUUCUUCUUCUAUCAUUUUUUCUUAUUUUUCUUCUUAUUCUUAUUCUUCUUCCUCUUCUUCUUGCCAGCCAAGUAUAGUAGUGAAGCCACAGUUCCUUCUUCUUCUUCUUCUUCUUUGUCUUCUUUGUCUUCUUCUGUUUAUUCUUCUUUUAUAAUUGUUGUUAUUAUUCUUCUUCUUAUUAUUAUUAUUUCUCUUCAACCAAAUGGAAGGCCGUGUUCUUCUUCUUUUUAUUCUUCUUCUUCUUAUUAUUCUUGUUCCUCUUCUUCUGUUCCUUCUUCUUUUAUAAUUUUCUUGUUCUCCUUCUUCUUCUACCAAACGUAAGGCCGUUUCAUAGGCCUGUUGGUAGUACGUUUGGUAGACAUUUGGUAGGCUGAUUGGUAGGCUUUUGUUAGACAGUUUGGUAGGCGGUUUAGUAGAGGGGGAAUGAUGCCACCUCUUCUUCUUCUUCAUCUUCCUAUGUUUCUUCUUCAUUUAUUAUGUUUCUUCUUCUUCUUGCCAGCCAAGUAUAGGAGUGAAGCCACUGUUGCUUCUUCUUUUUCUUCUUCUUCUUUUUCUUCUACCAAAUGGAAGGCCGUAUUCUUCUUCUUCUUCUUCUUCUGGCCAGCCAAAUAUACUAGCGGGGCCACUGUUGCUUCUUCUUCUUCUUCUUCUUCUUUUUCUUCUACCAAAUGGAAGGCCGUAUUGGGGGCCACUGCUUCCUCUUCUUAAUUUUCUUCUUUUGCCAAACGGAAGUGUCACGUCCUGGCCAGUAUAAGGUUAAUUGGUAUUGUAGUUUGGUCAGGACGUGGCAGAGGGUAUUCGUUUUAUGUGGUUCGGAGUGGUGUGUUUUGUUGAAGGGGCAUUUGGUUUAAGUUUUCUGGGGUUUUUGGGCACUGUUUGGUUUUCAGGUAUUCUAUGUUUAGUCUAGUAUGUCUGGUUCUAUGUUUGGUUAAUUGGGGUUGGGACUCUCAGUUGAAGGCAGGUGUUGUCUAUCUGCCUUUGAUUGAGAGUCCCAUAUAUGAGGGGGUGUGUUUGUGUUUGUUAUUUGUGGGUGAUUAUUCUGUGUUUAGCCUUGUGCCUUACCAGACUGUUUUUGUUGAUCAUUCGUUCUUUGUUAUUUUGGUGUUCAUUUUGUAUUUAUUAAAAAGCAAGAUGAGCAUACACAUACCUGCUGCGUUUUGGUCCUCCAUUUCCAACGACAAACGUGACAGGAAGACCAUUUUGGAAGGCCUUUGGUAGUCCGUUUAGUAGAGGUGGGAUGUUGCCUCCUUCUUGUUCUUCUUCUUGCCAGCCAAAUAUACUAGCGGGGGCCACUGUUGCUUCUUCUUCUUCUUCUUCUUCGUUCUUCUUUUUGCCAGCCAAAUAUACUAGCGGGGGCCACUGUUGCUUCUUCUUCUUCUUCUUCUUGCCAGCCAAAUAUACUACUGUGGCCACUGUUGCUGCUUCUUCUUCUUCUUCUUCUUCUUCUUCUUCUUCUUCUUCUUCUUCUUCUUCUUCUUCUUCUUCUUCUUCUUUUUUUUUUUCUUUUCUUCUUUUCUCUUCUUCUUCUUCUUCUUCUUCUUCUUCUUCUUCUUCUUCUUCUUGCCAGCCAAAUAUACUAGUGGGGGCCACUGUUGCUUCUUCUUCUUGCCAGCCAAAUAUACUACUGUGGCCACUGUUGCUUCUUCUUCUUCUUCUUCUUCUUGCCAGCCAAAUAUACUACCGUGGCCACUGUUGCUUCUUCUUCUUCUUCUUCUUCUUCUGCCAGCCAAAUAUACUAGCGGGGCCACUGCUGCUUUUGUUAGACAGUUUGGUAGGUGGUUUAGUAGAGGGUGAAUGAUGCCACUUCUUCUUCUUCAUCUUACUAUGUUUCUUCUUCAUUGAUUAUGUUUCUUCUUCUUCUUCUUGCCAGCCAAGUGGAGGAGUGGGGACACUGAUCCUUCUUCUUUUUCUUCUUCUUCUUGCCAGUCAAGUAGAGGAGUGGGGCCACUGCUCCUUCUUCAUCUUCUUCUUCUUCUGUUUCUUCUUUUAUCAUUUUUAAUCUUAUAACAAACGGAAGGAUGUUUGGUAGGCCUUUUGGUAGACAGUUUGGUAGGCCUUUGGUAUACUGUUUAGUAGAGGUGGGAUGUUGCCACCCCUUCUUCUUCUUCUUCUUCCUCUUCUUCUUCUUCUUCUUCUUCUUCUUCUUCUUCUUGCCAACCAAAUAUACUAGUGGGGCCACUGUUGCUUCUUCUUUUUAAAUAAUUUUUCUUCUUCUUCUUCUUCUUUGUCUUCUGCUAUUUAUUCUUCUUUUAUAAUUGCUCUUAUUAUUCUUAUUAUUUUUCUUCUUCUUCUACCAAAUGGAAGGCCGUAUUCUUCUUCUUCUUCUGUUCUUUCAUCUUUUAUAAUCUUCUCCUUCUUCUUCUACCAAACGUAAUGCCGUUUGGUAGGCCGUUUCAUAGACCUCUUCGUAGUGCGUUUGGUAGACAUUUGGUAGGCUGUUUGGUAGGCUUUUGGUCGACAGUUUGGUUGGCCUUUGGUAGGCUGAUUAGUAGAGGUGGAAUGAUGCCACCCCUUCUUUGUCUUCUUCUUCAUCUUCUUCUGUUUCUUCUUUUAUAAUUCAGUGGUGAAAUGGGGCCACGUCUUCUGAACAGCUCUAUUGACAUGUCUGGAGGUGUGUGGCCUGGUAAUACUAAGUGGGACAUGCCAGCUAAGAAUACAGGUCAAAACAGCUAUGCGGGCCAGUGCACAGCCAUUGGAUUGCCCGGGGUAACAGCUGAGUAGAUCGCUUUGCUAGGCCUUUUGUACACCGUUUGGUAAGACCUUUGGUAGACCAUUUGGUGGGUCGUUUGGUAGGCUUUUGGUAGACAGUUUAGUAGGCCUUUGAUAGGCCAAUUAGUAGACGGGGAAUAAAGUCACCCCUUCAUUUUCUUAUGUUUCUAGUUCUUCUCCUUUUUCUUCUUCAUUGUCUUCUGUUUCUUCUUCUUCUUCUUGCCAGCCAAGUGGAGAAUUGGGGCCACUGCUCCUUCUUCGUCUUCUUCUUCUUUUGUUUCUUCUUCUUUCAUAAUUUUUCUGAACGGGUAGGUCACUUGCGAUACCUCUCCAACUCGUUUUAGUGGAGGUCUGCUUGGGUGAGUGUAUAGCUUUUGAUAAUACUUUGACCCAGGGUGGCAACAUAUUUUCAAAAUAGUAAAAUUCUAUGGGUACCGCUCCAAUUUGAUUUAGCGGAGAUUUGAACGGGUAGGUCACUUGUGAAACAACUCCAACUUGUUUUGGUGGAGGUCGUUAUGGGUUAGUAUUCAGCUUUUGAUAAUACUUUGACCCAGGGUGGCAACGUCUUUUCAAAAUAGUAAAAUCCUAUGGGUACCGCUCCGACUUGAUUUAGCGGAGGUCUGAACCGGUAGGUCACUUGCAAUUCCUCUCCAACUCGUUUUGGUGGAGGUCUGCUUGCGUGAGUGUAUAGCUUUUGAUAAUACUUUGACCCAGGGUGGCAACAUAUUAUCAAAAUAGUAAAAUCCUAUGGGUACCGAUCCGAUUUGAUUUAGGGGAGGUCUGAACUGGUAUGUCACUUGUGAAACAACUCCAACUUGUUUUGGUGGAGGUCGGCAUGGGUUAGUGUAUAGCUUUUGAUAAUACGUUGACCCAGGGUGGCAACAUAUUAUCAAAAUAGUAAAAUCCUAUGGGUUCCGCUCCGACUUGUUUUAGUUGAGGUCUGCCUGUGUGAGUGUGUAGCCUAACGCUUUGACCCGAUUAAGCAAUGGACAGACAGCAGUGACCCCUUAUGUUUCUUCUUCUUCUUCUCCCUUUUCUGUUUAUUCUUCUUUUAUAAUUUUUCUUAUUUUUCUUCUUAUUCUUCUUCUUCCUCUUUUUCUUCUUCUUGCCAGCCAAGUAUAGGAGUUGCUACACGGUUCCCUCUUAUUCUUCUUCUUCUUCUUCUUUUUCUUCUACCAAAUGGAAGGCAGAAUAAUUCUUCUUCUUUUUUCUUGUUCUUCUUCUUCUUAUUCGUCUUCUUUUUAAAAUAAUUUUCUUCUCCUCCUUCUUCUUCUACCAAACGUAAGGCCAUUUGGUAAGAUGUUUCUUAGGGCUCUUGGAAUGAUGCCACCCCUUCUUUUUCUUCUUUUUCUUCUUCUUAAACGUAUUUGUCUAAGAGAGUCCAAUUUCUAAGAGAGUCCAAUGCUCGCUGCAUCCAGAAAAGGUCUCCUUGGGCAUGUCACUAUUGAAUAAGCCCUGGAUGAAUACUACAAGAGGUGAUUUUUCUACAACAAUUUUGGUGCCGUGACCCGGAUGGAAGGGAGACUGGCCGUCCUGGCCGGAACCUAGACAUCUCUUCAGUAUACCACAAAUAGUGGUAAAGGGACCUUUUAAAAGAUACUGUUGUUCGGUCAGGUGGGGUGGCUUAGGCUCUUCUCCUCUCCAUCCAUCUAUUGGAGUAAAAUUCUCGAGACUGUUAAAUGCAUUCUUAGAUAUAUAUAUAUAUAUAUAUAUAUGAACUGGUUCAUCAGGUAAGCUAAGGUUAAUUGGCUUCUGAAUUUGAAUCUAAGGAAAUUGAUUCUGGAGUAUUGGAACAAAAGGACAUUUGUUCCAGGGUUAGGAAGCCUAAGGUUUACUAACGUAUGUUUGAUAAUAAUAUAGACCUGAUCAUUUGUUGAAGAAAUUGACCAAUACUUUGGCGAGCUUGCCAGGAGCAUGUGACCACUUCGCUGGACUGACCAUCGAUCCACGUGCAAGCGCUACAAAAUUAUAACGUAAGCAGACACCUGUUAUAUCUAAUGUCUGUAAUUUGCUAUAGCACAUUGUGGUUAACGAGUAAUUUUGGCAAGUAAGUGGCGCCUCGCUGUUAAAUUUAUACAAACCUACAUUUCUCUGUAAUAGCGGAAUCAUUUAAAUUAUUGUUACACAACCCGCGGGAGGAAGCACAGACCACCUAGGUGGAAAUAGGUUAUACAUUCCUGGGUUAAAUGGUUAUGAUUAUGUGACUUGGUGAUAGGAUUUAGGGUGAAAUUCCAAGUAUAAAAACGCCGAAUGUUGAGAUUAUUGUGAUGAGACUUGGUGAAAGGAUUUAGGGUGAAAUUCCAAGUAUAAAAACACCGAUUGUUGAGAUUAUUGUGAUGAGACUUGGUGAUAGGAUUUAGGGUGAAAUUCCAAGUAUAAACGUCAAUUGUUGAGAUUAUUGUUUUGAGACUUGGUGAUAGGAUUUAGGGCGAAAUUCCAAGUGUAAUCGCCGACUGUUGAGAUUAUUGUGAUGAGAUUUGGUGACAGGAUUUAGGGCGAAAUUCCAAGUAUAAACGCUGAUUAUUGAAAUUAUUGUGAUGAGACUUGGUGAUAGGAUUUAGGGCGAAAUUCCAAGUAUAAACGCCGAUUGUUGAGAUUAUUGUGAUGAGACUUGGUGAUAGGAUAUAAGGCAAAAAUUCCAAGUAUAAACGCAGAUUGUUGAGAUUAUUGUGAUGAGACUUAGUAUUAGGAUUUAGGGCGAAAUUCCAAGUAUAAACACAGAUUUUUUAGAUUAUUGUGAAGAGACAUAGUGGUAGGAUUUAUGGCUAAAUUCCAAGAAUCUACGCUGAUUGUUGAGAUUAUUGUGAUGAGACUUGGUGAUAU
This 10584-nucleotide long non-coding RNA is filed under the name Salmo salar (Atlantic salmon). Its description in RNAcentral is "lncRNA (ENSSSAG00000090496.1)". The record is from RNAcentral. Lineage: Eukaryota; Metazoa; Chordata; Actinopteri; Salmoniformes; Salmonidae.